AUUCCCGUGGUUCAUAGAGAGACUGUUUUUCCUCGCCGGUUCGUCUACGAUGUGUCGAAAGCAGCAGUCGAAAAACUGCUAGAAACAAAUCAAAGCAAACAGUCGUAGACAAGUGCUGCGAUUGUUUUCCUUGAGAAUUGAAGUGAAAAUAUCGUUACUAAGCAGCCGAAACUAUAAUCAACAAGUCUUAGAAAAGUUUCAUAUGGUUUUUUCUUGCGGAGGAGCAGAACCUAUUCGAGUUUCGCUAGGUAAUUCUUAGAACUUCUUUUCCAAAUAUGGUCAACAUACCUGGAGAUGAAGAAAUCAUUCCACAGCAGGUUCAUAUCUUCCUCCAGCAUGAUACGACUUGUGGCCUUAAUACCGGGAGAAGGCUGCCCGCAACUUGACAUCCCGCCUAAUGAAGUCCCCUAGCUCCUGAAACUAUGAAGAAAAGUGAAUUUAUGGUAUUCAAACGCGCGCUUCUGUCAGCCACGGUUGGCUUGAUUUCCUUCUUUCGUUUGUGGACGUCCAGCUUCUAGGUGAAACUUCAGAAAGGCGCGAGUUCGGUUCCGGAUCCCACCAUCGGCGUUUCGAUCGACUUUUGCAAAUAAAGAUCAGCACUCUUGGCAACGCUUCCCCAUUGACCGGAUGCUUCUAGACGAUGAAUUGCUCACAGCGCCCGGUUUCAUUCAUACUGGAACGGGUUAAACGAGAAAGAAAUCGAACAGUAUCUAGUUAUGAUCUUAUUUGUGAUUGUUUUAUCUGAUCUAAUACAGCUACACCUGCUGCACAAAGUGGACCUGCUAAGACUUUCGGAAGAAUGAAUACAUUUU
Molecule: long non-coding RNA, 812 nt
Organism: Wyeomyia smithii (pitcher-plant mosquito)
Lineage: Eukaryota; Metazoa; Arthropoda; Insecta; Diptera; Culicidae
Exons: 3
Source: RefSeq, a predicted model, not a curated record